RNAcentral lists this ribosomal RNA (550 nucleotides) under uncultured bacterium. RNAcentral's name for it is "bacterial SSU rRNA". It matches the Rfam family "Bacterial small subunit ribosomal RNA", at positions 355 to 896 of the family's 1533-position model. The record is from RNAcentral.
UGGGGAAUAUUGGACAAUGGGCGCAAGCCUGAUCCAGCCAUGCCGCGUGGGUAAAGAAGGCCUUCGGGUUGUAAAGCCCUUUUGUUGGGAAAGAAAAGCAGUCGGUUAAUACCCGAUUGUUCUGACGGUACCCAAAGAAUAAGCACCGGCUAACUUCGUGCCAGCAGCCGCGGUAAUACGAAGGGUGCAAGCGUUACUCGGAAUUACUGGGCGUAAAGCGUGCGUAGGUAGUGGUUUAAGUCUGUUGUGAAAGCCCUGGGCUCAACCUGGGAAUUGCAGUGGAUACUGGGUCACUAGAGUGUGGUAGAGGGUAGCGGAAUUCCCGGUGUAGCAGUGAAAUGCGUAGAGAUCGGGAGGAACAUCCGUGGCGAAGGCGGCUACCUGGACCAACACUGACACUGAGGCACGAAAGCGUGGGGAGCAAACAGGAUUAGAUACCCUGGUAGUCCACGCCCUAAACGAUGCGAACUGGAUGUUGGGUGCAAUUUGGCACGCAGUAUCGAAGCUAACGCGUUAAGUUCGCCGCCUGGGGAGUACGGUCGCAAGACUG